CACGUAGGGUGCGAGCGUUGUCCGGAAUUAUUGGGCGUAAAGAGCUCGUAGGCGGUGUGUCGCGUCGGCCGUGAAAACUUGCAGCUUAACUGUGGGCGUGCGGUCGAUACGGGCAUCACUGGAGUUCGGCAGGGGAGAUUGGAAUUCCUGGUGUAGCGGUGAAAUGCGCAGAUAUCAGGAGGAACACCGGUGGCGAAGGCGGGUCUCUGGGCCGAUACUGACGCUGAGGUACGAAAGCCAGGGGAGCAAACGGG
This 254-nucleotide ribosomal RNA is filed under the name uncultured bacterium. RNAcentral's name for it is "partial 16S ribosomal RNA". It matches the Rfam family "Bacterial small subunit ribosomal RNA", at positions 524 to 776 of the family's 1533-position model. The record is from RNAcentral.